This is a long non-coding RNA of Gallus gallus (chicken), 1028 nucleotides long. The record is from Ensembl. NCBI's taxonomy places the organism in Eukaryota, Metazoa, Chordata, Aves, Galliformes, Phasianidae.
GUGGAAGUCAGCGUGUGAACACAGCCUUCACUGUCCUCAUGGUACUGAAGCUGUGGGUGGAGGAGGCAGGUCAAGUGUCGCUGUCUCUCCUUCACACAUUGCUGCAUCUUAGCCUACAUCCGGACUUUCAUGAUUGCCAAGGAAUGACAAGACACUAGAGAAGACUUUACUAAUUAACUAGGCCAAGCUAUCUGCUGCCCAGACUCCCUGCAACUUCAGUCAAAGCUGCCAAACUUAUAUGUACAAGUUUGGAUAGUGAUGUUCUUCUCCACUUGUGAUGUUCUAAUGAGUUGUUAAAUAUUUGCCCUCUAUUCAGGAAAAGGUGCUUUGUGCUAGCAAGAAAUGUGUUUUUUCUAUCUGUAUCCCGUGGAAAGUCAGUACACCUACCUCUGUUGUGUAUGCUCAUUUGGGCAAAUCUUUAUCUUCUGCCUCCCUGUAGUAAGCCACAUGUUGAUGACACUGUGAUGGCCUCCAGAGUCUCUAAGAAAUGCUGGGUGCAUCCUGUAUACUGCUGAAGGAUGAGGAGCCAGGGAGAGAGCCUCUUAUUUUUUCUCAGGACAAAAGCAAUCCUGGAUGCAAAACAUUCUGCUAGGCAGUUUCCAACUCUGAUUCUUCCACUGCCUGAAUAUACGAAACACUGUCUAUGUGAAACAUUUUCCACUCUUUGGAGAUACCCUUUUUCCUCUGUCAUCUUCAUUAUACUUAUAUGUUAAUAUAUAUUAUUUUGCAAUUUACAAAGCCUGUUCCUUAAAUAUAUAAAUGUGUACAAUUACGGUUAUUGUAUAUAUAUAAACAUAAACCAAUUUAUGUGAAAAUAAACCAGUUGUGACACUAUUUUUCCUUUCAAAAACCUAUCAAAACUGUCUAGUUUUACAAUGAAGAUUUGAAUUUGGAAGAGGAGGUCUAGAAGAGAGGACUCACGUCACAAUAUACAAUGCCUAGAAAUCAACAAUAGAUAUGAAUAUAUGGAUAAAAUUUAGUUUUAGCCUUAUUAAAGAAUGUAUUUACAUUUGAGAUUGUGUUUGUUU